CGCAGAGCAGCCCGAUGCCCAGUGCGAUGCCCGCACUUGCCCCGGCACUCAGCUGUGUCUCCAGCACCCGCUCUCGGUAGCACAGCAGGAAGAUGACCACCGAGCCAAACAGCAACCCAGUGAGGAAGAGUACUGCCUUGAAGCAGCGGUAACCUGGAGGGGAACAAGGGCUAGUGAGGGGCCAAAAUGAGGUCACCAGGCUCCAGAAAGGGGAUCAGAGGGGUUAUGGACAUGAGAAUCACAGAGGAACCAGGAGCAGGUCACUAAGGUCAGAAUCUUGGGGGCCACUGGAGUUCUGAGGGCAUCAGUGAUGGGACCAUUGGGGUCCAAGGAGGUCAGAGAGAUAGGUCAUUGGGACUCACUGGGAAAGCAGAGAGAUAAGAGUUACUGAGAUGAGUGUUGGGUCUUUGAGGGUCAGAUAAACCAUUGGAGUCAAGA
Molecule: long non-coding RNA, 438 nt
Filed under: Lynx pardinus (Iberian lynx)
Lineage: Eukaryota; Metazoa; Chordata; Mammalia; Carnivora; Felidae
Source: RNAcentral